This 112-nucleotide ribosomal RNA is filed under the name Duganella aceris. Its description in RNAcentral is "partial 16S ribosomal RNA". It matches the Rfam family "Bacterial small subunit ribosomal RNA", at positions 1 to 108 of the family's 1533-position model. The record is from RNAcentral. Lineage: Bacteria; Pseudomonadati; Pseudomonadota; Betaproteobacteria; Burkholderiales; Oxalobacteraceae.
AGAUUAAACUGAAGAGUUUGAUCCUGGCUCAGAUUGAACGCUGGCGGCAUGCCUUACACAUGCAAGUCGAACGGCAGCGCGGGGCAACCUGGCGGCGAGUGGCGAACGGGUG